Molecule: transfer RNA, 76 nt
Filed under: Pokkaliibacter plantistimulans
Lineage: Bacteria; Pseudomonadati; Pseudomonadota; Gammaproteobacteria; Oceanospirillales; Balneatrichaceae
Also listed under: 5 other names
Description: tRNA-Met
Rfam family: tRNA
About the family: Transfer RNA (tRNA) molecules are approximately 80 nucleotides in length. Their secondary structure includes four short double-helical elements and three loops (D, anti-codon, and T loops). Further hydrogen bonds mediate the characteristic L-shaped molecular structure. tRNAs have two regions of fundamental functional importance: the anti-codon, which is responsible for specific mRNA codon recognition, and the 3' end, to which the tRNAs corresponding amino acid is attached (by aminoacyl-tRNA synthetases). tRNAs cope with the degeneracy of the genetic code in two manners: having more than one tRNA (with a specific anti-codon) for a particular amino acid; and 'wobble' base-pairing, i.e. permitting non-standard base-pairing at the 3rd anti-codon position.
Source: RNAcentral
GGGCCUAUAGCUCAGCGGUUAGAGCAGGGGACUCAUAAUCCCUUGGUCGUAGGUUCAAAUCCUACUGGGCCCACCA